GGAAAUUAGACAGACAGGAUUGGCAAACUUUUCAGAAAAUCUGCCACAUCUUGAGGUCAAGCGCAAGAUGCAGAACACUUUAAAGGGACUGCUACAGUUAAGGAAAGACUGAAACCUGAGCUGACUUUACCUUGCUCCUGAAAUAUCUCAGAGGACUCUGAGGUUUCCUUCUCUCUAAACUUUAUUACCUACUGCUGUUGGUCACAUGUAUGUUACGACCGCCGUCUGUGCAUGAAGAGCACCUCAAUGUUAAAAUGGAAUUCAGACUGUGUCAGCACAAAGAACAUUUAUUUUAAAAAAAUCACAUCAAACGUCA
This is a long non-coding RNA of Amphiprion ocellaris (clown anemonefish), 316 nucleotides long. The record is from Ensembl. NCBI's taxonomy places the organism in Eukaryota, Metazoa, Chordata, Actinopteri, Pomacentridae.